Molecule: ribosomal RNA, 516 nt
Filed under: uncultured bacterium
Lineage: Bacteria
Description: bacterial SSU rRNA
Rfam family: Bacterial small subunit ribosomal RNA
Source: RNAcentral
ACGAACGCUGGCGGCGUGCCUAAUACAUGCAAGUCGAACGGUCUUUCUAUGGAAGCUUGCUUCCACUGAGAAGAUAGUGGCGAACGGGUGAGUAACACGUGGGUAACCUGCCCAUAAGAGGGGGAUAACAUCCGGAAACGGGUGCUAAUACCGCAUAGUUUUCUUGAUCGCAUGAUUGAGAAAGGAAAGACGGCCUUUGUGCUGUCGCUUAUGGAUGGACCCGCGGCGUAUUAGUUAGUUGGUGAGGUAAUGGCUCACCAAGACGAUGAUACGUAGCCGACCUGAGAGGGUGAUCGGCCACAUUGGGACUGAGACACGGCCCAAACUCCUACGGGAGGCAGCAGUAGGGAAUCUUCCGCAAUGGACGAAAGUCUGACGGAGCAACGCCGCGUGAGUGAAAGAAGGUUUUCGGAUCGUAAAACUCUGUUGUCAGAGAAGAACAAGUUGGAGAGUAACUGCUCCAGCCUUGACGGUAUCUGACCAGAAAGCCACGGCUAACUACGUGCCAGCCGCGGC